GGAGAAGAGGAGAGACGCUGAUGGAGGAGAAGAGAGACGCUGAUGGAGGAGAGGAGGGGAGGAGUGGAGGGGAGGAGAGACGCCGAUGGAGGAGAGGAGGCGCUCAGACACUCAGACGGCCCCUGAAGCAACCUGGACUGAACCAACUCUAAUAUCAGUGGGGGAGGUGAAACAGAAACAACGUCUCCCCCUCCUAUGAGAAUGAGAACUUCCACAACCACAUUUACCUCAUCACACACAGAAACACACACACACACACAGAAACACACACACAGAAACAGUAACACACACACAAACACACACACACACACACACACACAGAAACAGUAACACACACACAAGCUCACACACAGAAACACACACACACACACACACACAGAAACAGUAACACACACACACACAGAAACACACACACAGACCCCCCC
Molecule: long non-coding RNA, 425 nt
Organism: Etheostoma cragini (Arkansas darter)
Lineage: Eukaryota; Metazoa; Chordata; Actinopteri; Perciformes; Percidae
Exons: 2
Source: RefSeq, a predicted model, not a curated record